AACGCACGAGACCUGCGGACCUGCGGAGGGAUCAUUAACGAAUAACUAUGGUGUUGGUUGUCGCUGGCUCCUAGGAGCAUUGUGCACGCCCGCCAUUUUUAUCUUUCCACCUGUGCACUUUAGUGUAGAUCUGGAUACCACUCGCUUUCCCAAGCGGACUCGGAGAUUGCUGUGUCGCAAGACCCGGCUCUCUUUGAAUUUCCAGGUCUAUGUCUUUUUUACACACCCCAAUUGAAUGAU
This 240-nucleotide unclassified non-coding RNA is filed under the name soil metagenome. RNAcentral's name for it is "partial contains 5.8S ribosomal RNA, internal transcribed spacer 2, and large subunit ribosomal RNA". The record is from RNAcentral.